GCUGGUCACAUGGCCCGGUCACCAUGGCGACGGAUCCCCGCAGACGAGGUGAGGACGAGGACGCUCAGAGUCCGUGUGAGAACCUGGGUCAUCCAAUCCUAAAGUCCAUGCUCUUCCCAAGGUGCCCGGCCAUGGAGUGUGGCAGACAGUGUGCUCAAAAGGAGGAGGCAGGAGGGAAGGCUGGUGCUGAGGACAGAGCCGAAGAAAGGGCAGUCUAG
This 218-nucleotide long non-coding RNA is filed under the name Homo sapiens (human). RNAcentral describes it as "HSALNT0012344". Lineage: Eukaryota; Metazoa; Chordata; Mammalia; Primates; Hominidae. The record is from RNAcentral.